RNAcentral lists this ribosomal RNA (376 nucleotides) under uncultured organism. RNAcentral describes it as "bacterial SSU rRNA". It matches the Rfam family "Bacterial small subunit ribosomal RNA", at positions 526 to 896 of the family's 1533-position model. The record is from RNAcentral.
CGUAGGGUGCGAGCGUUAAUCGGAAUUACUGGGCGUAAAGCGUGCGCAGGCGGUUUGUAAGACAGAUGUGAAAAUCCCCGGGCGUCAACCUCGGGACCUGCAUUUGUGACUGCAAGGCUAGAGUACGGUAGAGGGGGAUGGGAUUCCGCGUGUAGCAGUGAAAUGCGUAGAUAUGCGGAGGAACACCGAUGGCGAAGGCAAUCCCCUGGACCUGUACUGACGCUCAUGCACGAAAGCGUGGGGAGCAAAACAGGAUUAGAUACCCUGGUAGUCCACGCCCUAAACGAUGUCAACUGGUUGUUGGGUCGUUUACUGACUCAGUAACGAAGCUAACGCGUGAAGUUGACCCGCCUGGGGGAGUACGGCCGCAAGGUUG